Molecule: microRNA precursor, 126 nt
Filed under: Myotis davidii
Lineage: Eukaryota; Metazoa; Chordata; Mammalia; Chiroptera; Vespertilionidae
Description: mir-9193 microRNA precursor family
Source: Rfam by way of RNAcentral
UGUGCACCGGUGGGGUCCCUCGGCCUGGCCUGCGCCCUCUUGCAAUCUCGGACACCUUGGGGGAUGUUGGAGACCCCAUUUUGGCCUGAUCCUGCAGGCCAGGCCGAGGGACCCCACUGGUGCACU